AACAAGCCAGUAAAAUAAUCCACUGCCACUUUCUCAACACCAUUUUCUUCUGAGAUCCAAUUGCCUUCUUCAUCAUGGAGACCCACUUUUUUGUUUCGGAUCCGUCGUUGCUUUGUCAAAGCAUGAUAAAACUUAGUAUUAAGGUCCCCAGAUGAAUACCACAUAUUCCUACUCUUCUGGUGCCAAUAUUCCUCUUCAUCCCUAUAUGCCUC
Molecule: long non-coding RNA, 212 nt
Filed under: Brassica rapa (field mustard)
Lineage: Eukaryota; Viridiplantae; Streptophyta; Magnoliopsida; Brassicales; Brassicaceae
Description: long non-coding RNA (BRAP_LNC003373)
Source: RNAcentral